RNAcentral lists this non-coding RNA (828 nucleotides) under Klebsiella pneumoniae IS39. RNAcentral describes it as "LSU rRNA". It matches the Rfam family "Bacterial large subunit ribosomal RNA", at positions 2103 to 2925 of the family's 2925-position model. Lineage: Bacteria; Pseudomonadati; Pseudomonadota; Gammaproteobacteria; Enterobacterales; Enterobacteriaceae. The record is from RNAcentral.
ACUAUAGCUUGACACUGAACAUUGAGCCUUGAUGUGUAGGAUAGGUGGGAGGCUUUGAAGCGUGGACGCCAGUCUGCGUGGAGCCAACCUUGAAAUACCACCCUUUAAUGUUUGAUGUUCUAACGUUGGCCCCUUAUCGGGGUUGCGGACAGUGUCUGGUGGGUAGUUUGACUGGGGCGGUCUCCUCCCAAAGCGUAACGGAGGAGCACGAAGGUUAGCUAAUCCUGGUCGGACAUCAGGAGGUUAGUGCAAUGGCAUAAGCUAGCUUGACUGCGAGCGUGACGGCGCGAGCAGGUGCGAAAGCAGGUCAUAGUGAUCCGGUGGUUCUGAAUGGAAGGGCCAUCGCUCAACGGAUAAAAGGUACUCCGGGGAUAACAGGCUGAUACCGCCCAAGAGUUCAUAUCGACGGCGGUGUUUGGCACCUCGAUGUCGGCUCAUCACAUCCUGGGGCUGAAGUAGGUCCCAAGGGUAUGGCUGUUCGCCAUUUAAAGUGGUACGCGAGCUGGGUUUAGAACGUCGUGAGACAGUUCGGUCCCUAUCUGCCGUGGGCGCUGGAGAAUUGAGGGGGGCUGCUCCUAGUACGAGAGGACCGGAGUGGACGCAUCACUGGUGUUCGGGUUGUCAUGCCAAUGGCACUGCCCGGUAGCUAAAUGCGGAAGAGAUAAGUGCUGAAAGCAUCUAAGCACGAAACUUGCCCCGAGAUGAGUUCUCCCUGAGACUUUAAGUCUCCUGAAGGAACGUUGAAGACGACGACGUUGAUAGGCCGGGUGUGUAAGCGCAGCGAUGCGUUGAGCUAACCGGUACUAAUGAACCGUGAGGCUUAACCUU